RNAcentral lists this ribosomal RNA (496 nucleotides) under uncultured bacterium. Its description in RNAcentral is "partial 16S ribosomal RNA". It matches the Rfam family "Bacterial small subunit ribosomal RNA", at positions 29 to 507 of the family's 1533-position model. The record is from RNAcentral.
AUGAACGCUGGCGGCGUGCCUAAUACAUGCCAGUCGAGCGAACGGACGAGAAGCUUGCUUCUCUGAUGUUAGCGGCGGACGGGUGAGUAACACGUGGAUAACCUACCUAUAAGACUGGGAUAACUUCGGGAAACCGUAGCUAAUACCGGAUAAUAUUUUGAACCGCAUGGUUCAAAAGUGAAAGACGGUCUUGCUGUCACUUAUAGAUGGAUCCGCGCUGCAUUAGCUAGUUGGUAAGGUAACGGCUUACCAAGGCAACGAUGCAUAGCCGACCUGAGAGGGUGAUCGGCCACACUGGAACUGAGACACGGUCCAGACUCCUACGGGAGGCAGCAGUAGGGAAUCUUCCGCAAUGGGCGAAAGCCUGACGGAGCAACGCCGCGUGAGUGAUGAAGGUCUUCGGAUCGUAAAACUCUGUUAUUAGGGAAGAACAUAUGUGUAAGUAACUGUGCACAUCUUGACGGUACCUAAUCUGAAAGCCACGGCUAACUACGUG